UCCAAAAGUUCACUGGGUUGAGAGUGGGGAUGGUGUCCAAUCGGAACAUCAAUGGAGCUGGAGCUAAUGCUGGCAGUGUUGUGAGGGUUUCCUUUCUGGGGCUUGUAGCAGGGUGGUGACUCGGGUUUCCUCUGUGGGGGUCUCGUGUAUCCAUCAGUGAUAUGGUUCCUUGGGUCUGUUCGAGCCUUGUUUGCUGGCUUGGUGGGAUCAUGGCGGCUGCGGAAGUGGGGCAGGGACUGGGAAUGGGGUCUGGCAUCAUGGCAUUGGUAUUUCCUGGUUCUGGGGUAUUUCCGGGUAUGACGUAGCUUUGGCAUCUGGGAUUCCGUAGUGAUUUAUUCUCGGGCCCUAGCAAGUGGGCAUGUUCAACGGAGGUGGGAUAGUACAUGCAGCUUCACAGCCAAGCCAAUCAGCUUCAGGCAGAGGUGGUCCGAGGGUUUCCGUGGCAACGAGGGGUGUGUGCAGUCCCAGCACGGGCUGCUCAGGUAACUGGGCAGGAGUGGAUGGUGCAGGUGGCAGGUGGCUGUCCGGGGGCUGCGUGACACUGUGGCACAGCCCCUGGGCAUCUGCCCAACAUGGCGGUGUGGUUUGGCAUGGCACAGCAUUUUGGGGCAACCACUGGGCAGUCUGGCAUGGCAGCACGGGGUGGUGCUGCUGCGCCUUCACCAUCCACUUGGGUUUAGCUGCUCAGUGGAACUCCUCCACCCCCCAAGGCUCCAUCUCUUUUAGGGACCUCUCCAUGUGAUGGGGUUGCUCAAUUUGGCACACCGCCAUGAGGGGCUCCAUCUCAUGGCAGGACUCUUCCGCCUGCCCCGGUUUGGCUGUUCUCCCUGGCUGCACUGCCCCCCAGGGCCUGGCCACGGGUCAGGAUUGCACAAUCUGGCUUGGCAGGGCACGGCACUGGCACAGGGCACCCAUUCAGUACAGUGUGAUAGCACAGGGCAGCCAUUUCAUCCAGUGGCUUCCUCCAGGCCCUCGGCAGGGUGCCUAGGCCUCCUGACACCUCAUCUGGUACCCAGUCCUCGCCAUGCAUCUCAGCAUCUAACUGCUUCAACAAAUUCAGAAUAAGUUUCCAGGGCUUUAGAACCUUAAUGACGCUUUUGUUGCCUUUAGAAGCCGCUUUGAUUAUAAGUCUGACAUUCCGUACCCAAGUAUUUCUAUCAAGCACUGCCUCUUUGGUUGUGUCCAAUCCAUGGUUCUUAGCGCAGGUUAGCAAGGCUAAUAAAGCCUGCUCCUUAUAAUUUAUCACCCAUUCAGGUAGAAAACUAGUCCAUACAUUCAUAGCUGGGUGUUCUUCUACCAAGAUCCACCCACCCAUGUCUUCGGCAGCAGUUUUCUUCUAUUUUCAGGGGUAUUUAUAAAGGAAUCUGGAUUUCAGUGGUUUUUUACUGCAGAAGGCUUUGCCCGCCUCUUGGUUUUUCAGGUUUUACAUUUCUGGUUAGGCUCUAUUCGCCUUUGUCUAUCUCCCCUGCUCUUGCACACAGAAAUGGCUGCGUCGAUCACGUUGGUGUCACCACAUAUUACAUUAUGGUCAUUGGUUGGAGACAAACAUAUGACAGGACUCACUGAGGGUCAGCAACAAACAGCCCAAUUUAUUGUUCGGAACCCUCUUUUAUAGAGGGUUCAAAACUCCCACGCUAGAACAGCUGAUUGGUCAGGGUCUCAGCAUCAUCCAGCUCUCCGGCCAAUAUGUCUGCAUACAGGGUUGAAAAGAAUUGGCUAGGGUUCCCUGUUUGGGUUCAAAUCCAUCCUGAUUGCUCACCCAGGUGUAAGAGUGUCUGAAAAUCCCUCAUCUGCCUCACAACUGUCAGGAACCAAGACCCCCAAGGACCCUGGGCCGCAGCACAGGAGUUCUGGCCUGAUUGAGGUGGGACCCAGGCUUCUCCCUGCAGCUGCACCCACUGGACCAAGACGCCCUCCUCAGAGACCCAUGCAAGAACAAUGGACACUGUCACGGUUCCUGGGCCAUGUUUGCAGAGGCCGUGUUUGCUUUGACUGACUGUGCUGUACCUGCUGCAGAGCCCAGACCUGCUUGUCCCAAACCUGCCUCAUCUGAAUGGUUGCACCUGAUUCUCAGAGCAAUGGGCCUCCUCACAGUGACUCUUGGGUGCUCCCCCCACGUUGGCCGAGUGCCCCCCGCUUCUGAAAUGACUAUAAAAGCUUCCCCCUGCGACUCACACUUUGAGGCCCUCCCCGGAAGGACGACGGAUCUAUUGAUGCGCACCACGAGGACUGUGAAGGUGGUCUUGGCUUCCAGCGUCACGAGGACUCACGUCUGUUCAGUCGUUCCAGUUACUUCUUACCAGCUUUUACAAUCUAAUUACACACUGAUCCACAAGCUAUGGCCUACCCUGAUUGGGAUGAACCUCACUUUGGUAAAGUAAUUUUUGCUCCAUCAGAAUCUAAGUGAAAUUUUAGAUAAAAUCAAGAAUACCUUGAUAACAAAUUGUGUCAUCCCAUCGUUGUUCUUUUGACUUUAGUUUUGAUUGGCUUUGUUUUGCAGCAAUCUCAUUCUUUACUUAGAAACAAUAGAUAUACUUAGAGAUGUUGACACAAGACAAACUUUACAAGUAGGCCAUGACCGCGGACUGUGAAAUGGAUUUUUACCUAAGUAAGAUAGAGAAAUCUUAGAAAUACAUAUUUUUAAGUCAAUUAUGUAUUUUUGAUUUUUUUUGUGAUUUGUGUUGAUGACUUUUAAAAUUUGAUCAUGUUAUUUGAAAAAUUGUUUUACAAUGAUUUUUGUUUUGUUAAUCAAAAUUGCUUUAAUUAAUAUCAUCAUAAUAUUUUUAUUUGAAAAUUAUUUUGACUUUUUGCCUUGAAUAUUUGAAAAUUGUUUUAAUUAAUUAAUAUUAUGAUCUUGUUUUGAAUUAGUAUUGUUAAGAUUUUGUCUUGAUUAUUUGACUUUGUGAAUAAUUUAUCAUUAUGAUUUGUCUAAGAAUUUUAUUAAUCAAUAUUAACUAUUAUUUGGAUUUGUUUUAAGAUUUGUCUUAUCAUAGCGAUUUGUUUUGAGAUUUUAAUAAUCAAUAUUAAUCAUUGUACAUCUCUUGUUUUCCCUUCUUCUCCCUCUAUUUUUAUUCUCUCCGUCGUUCUCCCUCUCAUCUCUGUUUUCCGGGGUAUGAUACUGACAAUGAGUCCUGAAGACUUCAGAACAACGCAACGAACUCGGCUGAUGGAGCUCUCCUGACAACCAGUUGUGAGUCAUGGGGUGGUGUAAGAGUCUGUCUGAAAAUCCCUCAUCUGCCUCACGACUGUCAGGAACCAAGACCCCCAAGGACCCUGGGCCACAGCACAGGAGUUCUGGCCUGAUUGAGGUGGGACCCAGGCUUCUCCUUGCAGCUGCACCCACUGGACCAAGACGCCCUCCUCAGGGACCCAUGCAAGAACAACGGACACUGUCACGGUUCCUGGGCCGUGUUUGCAGAGGCCGUGUUUGCUUUGACUGACUGUGCUGUACCUGCUGCAGAGCCCAGACCUGCUUGUCCCAAACCUGCCUCAUCUGAAUGGUUGCACCUGAUUCUCAGAGCAAUGGGCCUCCUCACAGUGACUCUUGGGUGCUCCCCCCAUGUUGGCCGGGUGCCCCCUGCUUCUGCCUGCAUUGGCUGGGUGCCCCCUGCUUCUGAAAUGACUAUAAAAGCUUCCCCCUGCGACUCACACUUUGAGGCCCUCCUCGGCGGACGACGGAUCUAUUGAUGCGUGCCACCAGGACUGCGAAGGUGGUCUAUUGGUACCAGCGUCACGAGGACUCACGUCUGUUCAGUUGGUAGCUAUACCACCCUUUUCCUCUUUUCUCUCUCUCUCUCUCUCUUUCCCUUCUCUACUAUUGCAUAAUUGUGUGUAUCAAUAAAGAUACAAUUGAUUUUACUUGAA
Prinia subflava (tawny-flanked prinia) is the source of this 3864-nucleotide long non-coding RNA. RefSeq lists it as uncharacterized. The record is from RefSeq and is a predicted model, not a curated record. The transcript has 2 exons. NCBI's taxonomy places the organism in Eukaryota, Metazoa, Chordata, Aves, Passeriformes, Cisticolidae.